Zingiber officinale is the source of this 94-nucleotide small nucleolar RNA. RefSeq annotates it as small nucleolar RNA R11/Z151. The transcript has a single exon. The record is from RefSeq and is a predicted model, not a curated record. NCBI's taxonomy places the organism in Eukaryota, Viridiplantae, Streptophyta, Magnoliopsida, Zingiberales, Zingiberaceae.
UGGCUGAUGAUGAAUGAUCUGUAAGGUCUUAGCGGAUUUCGUUGAGGCUUUAGAGUCUAUGAUCUUACUAUUGUUGUUACACACACUGAAGCCU